Molecule: ribosomal RNA, 696 nt
Filed under: uncultured Staphylococcus sp.
Lineage: Bacteria; Bacillati; Bacillota; Bacilli; Caryophanales; Staphylococcaceae
Description: bacterial SSU rRNA
Rfam family: Bacterial small subunit ribosomal RNA
Source: RNAcentral
GGACGAGAAGCUUGCUUCUCUGAUGUUAGCGGCGGACGGGUGAGUAACACGUGGAUAACCUACCUAUAAGACUGGGAUAACUUCGGGAAACCGGAGCUAAUACCGGAUAAUAUUUUGAACCGCAUGGUUCAAAAGUGAAAGACGGUCUUGCUGUCACUUAUAGAUGGAUCCGCGCUGCAUUAGCUAGUUGGUAAGGUAACGGCUUACCAAGGCAACGAUGCAUAGCCGACCUGAGAGGGUGAUCGGCCACACUGGAACUGAGACACGGUCCAGACUCCUACGGGAGGCAGCAGUAGGGAAUCUUCCGCAAUGGGCGAAAGCCUGACGGAGCAACGCCGCGUGAGUGAUGAAGGUCUUCGGAUCGUAAAACUCUGUUAUUAGGGAAGAACAUAUGUGUAAGUAACUGUGCACAUCUUGACGGUACCUAAUCAGAAAGCCACGGCUAACUACGUGCCAGCAGCCGCGGUAAUACGUAGGUGGCAAGCGUUAUCCGGAAUUAUUGGGCGUAAAGCGCGCGUAGGCGGUUUUUUAAGUCUGAUGUGAAAGCCCACGGCUCAACCGUGGAGGGUCAUUGGAAACUGGAAAACUUGAGUGCAGAAGAGGAAAGUGGAAUUCCAUGUGUAGCGGUGAAAUGCGCAGAGAUAUGGAGGAACGCCAGUGGCGAAGGCGACUUUCUGGUCUGUAACUGACGCUGAU